This 614-nucleotide ribosomal RNA is filed under the name uncultured bacterium. Its description in RNAcentral is "bacterial SSU rRNA". It matches the Rfam family "Bacterial small subunit ribosomal RNA", at positions 8 to 669 of the family's 1533-position model. The record is from RNAcentral.
AGAGUUGAUCCUGGCUCAGAACGAACGCUGGCGGCAGGCCUAACACAUGCAAGUCGAACGGACCCUUCGGGGUCAGUGGCAGACGGGUGAGUAACGCGUGGGAAUCUACCCGGUUCUUCGGAAUAACCCAGGGAAACUUGGGCUAAUACCGGAUACGCCCUUAGGGGGAAAGAUUUAUCGGAAUUGGAUGAGCCCGCGUCGGAUUAGCUAGUUGGUGGGGUAAUGGCCUACCAAGGCGACGAUCCGUAGCUGGUCUGAGAGGAUGAUCAGCCACACUGGGACUGAGACACGGCCCAGACUCCUACGGGAGGCAGCAGUGGGGAAUAUUGGACAAUGGGCGCAAGCCUGAUCCAGCCAUGCCGCGUGAGUGAUGAAGGCCUUAGGGUUGUAAAGCUCUUUCAGCGGGGAAGAUAAUGACGGUACCCGCAGAAGAAGCCCCGGCUAACUUCGUGCCAGCAGCCGCGGUAAUACGAAGGGGGCUAGCGUUGUUCGGAAUUACUGGGCGUAAAAGGCGCGUAGGCGGACUGUUAAGUCAGGGGUGAAAUCCCGGGGCUCAACCCCGGAACUGCCUUUGAUACUGGCGGUCUUGAGUUCGGGAGAGGUGAGUGGAAUUC